CUUACAAGCGGUCGGAGCCUCUCUUUGAGGGGUGACGGCGUGCCUUUUGUAUAAUGAGCCUACGAGUUACUCCUGUUGUGCGAGGUUAAGCCCCUGAGGGGUGGAGCCGCAGCGAAAGCGAGUCUGAAUAGGGCGUCAAGUUCGUUGUAUUAGACCCGAAACCUAGUGAUCUAGCCAUGAGCAGGUUGAAGGUGAGGUAACACUCACUGGAGGACCGAACCCACGUCUGUUGAAAAAGACGGGGAUGACCUGUGGCUAGGGGUGAAAGGCCAAUCAAACUGAGAGAUAGCUCGUACUCCCCGAAAUGCUUUUAGGAGCAGCGUAUGGGUGAGUUUAUUAGAGGUAGAGCUACCAAUUGGACUAGGGGGAGUCAAAUCCUACCAAAUCCAGAUGAACUCCGAAUGCUAAUAAAUAUACCAUACAGUGAGGGUUGGGGUGCUAAGGUCCCAAUCCGAGAGGGAAAGAACCCAGACCUACAGCUAAGGUCCCAAAAUCUAUACUAAGUUGAACUAAGGGGGUCCAGUUGCUUAGACAGCCAGGAUGUUGGCUUGGAAGCAGCCA
This 561-nucleotide ribosomal RNA is filed under the name Exanthemachrysis gayraliae. Its description in RNAcentral is "partial Bacterial large subunit ribosomal RNA". It matches the Rfam family "Bacterial large subunit ribosomal RNA", at positions 563 to 1118 of the family's 2925-position model. Lineage: Eukaryota; Haptophyta; Pavlovophyceae; Pavlovales; Pavlovaceae. The record is from RNAcentral.